AGGCGCCUCGUUUCUGUGAGUCUCGGAUCCCUCAACUGAUUAAGACCGUGAGCCCCGCGAGGGACCCGGACUCUGCCCGACCUGAUUAGCCUGGAUCUCCCCAGCGCUUAGUACAGUGCCCGGCACAGAGGGAGAGGUUAACAAGCACCAUUAAAAAAAAGAGAGGCCGCCCCGGGGUCUGGGGCCCAGCGGUUGCUGUCCCGUGGAGCUCGGAGAGGUUUCCUUUUACUCACGGGCUUGAGAAGAUACUAGAAGGGGAAAGAGAGUGAGAGUGAGACGAGGGAAGUUGUGUGGGUGAGUCAGGGGGGCCCGAGACCAGAAGGAGCCUCGGAAGCGGAGUGUGUGGAUCUCGUGACUGUCUUGAGGGAGGUUGGGGGUGAGACGGAGAGCUGGGGGGACUCAGGGUGAGGGGACUGAAGGGACCGUCCGCAUUAUCAAAUGCGAAAACUCAUCUCCCAGCAGAUUUUGCAACAUCAACGCCCUUCCUCUCUCCUAUUUCUCCUUCUCUUCCUGCAUUGUUCCUCCUGGCUCCUUCAUCCCUCCCCCAUCUCUCUUUCUCCCCUCCUCGGUUCUUCUCUCGUCCUUUCCUCCUCCUCAGGUCCUCUGUUUCCAUUUCUCCCCUUCCCAUCCUGUUCCUUCUCUGGCCCUCUCCUCCCCCAGUCGCCCCAUCACGUCCUCCCUCCUCUGCCUUCUCCCCCGCUACCGUUCCUGCCUUCCCGUCCCCUCCCGUUUUCAGUGGGACCCAUGGGAACUUGAGUUCACGGCCAAAACGGGAAGAAGGCCAAGCAGAGCCGGCGACGAGGAGGGUGGGGGGGCGAGAGGGGAGCGUAGGGGUGAACGACCGACAGUAACCUUGGCUCCCGGCUCCUCUCCUCCCACAGCCGGACCGAGGCGUCCGGCCGGCCGCCGAGUCCCUCCGCUUCCAGCCCUGGCUCCCCUCCCUCCUCGUUCCCCGCUCCGGUCCCUCGCUCCCCGCUCCACCGGGCCCGAUAGGCAGCGGGCGGGAGACUCUGAGCUACUCGGAGAGACUCAUCCCGGUCGGAAGGGGCCGCAGACCCGCGGGAUCCUGGGCAGAUUCGGCCCCUGCAAAGGGCUUGGCGGGCUGGGACUUGACCUCUCGGAUAAGAGGCAGCCUAUGUCGUCAAUCUGAGGGUCAGCCAAUCAUUCAUUCGAUGGAAUCGAUUGCGCCUCUGACUUGGUGCAGAACACAGGUCAGAGGGCUCGGGGGAGUAGCACGCAGCCGGUAGACACAAUCCCCGUCCUCGGAGGAGCUUGCCACCUGCCCGGGAACAUUUAGAAAUUCAGGGAGAAGGGAGUCGGCCUAGCUGGAGCCUCUGUGUCUAUCCACAGGUCUGCUCCCCGCUCAUCUUCUCCGGGACUUCCCAGGGAGUGGGCACAGGAUGAGGCAGCAAUUCGACCACUUCUCUCUCCCUCCUGCUCUCCCGUAGGACCCCCGGUCCCAGACGCUGCUGCAGAGACCCUCCCCUUCUCGCUGCACCCCCAUCCACUACUCUGAGAGUUCCUUCGAGAGCCCCUGCCUCAGGUUCCGACAUCCCAAACCUCCUUCCAUUCAUUCAUUCGUAUUUAUUGAGCGCUUCCCGUGUACAGUGUUCAAGUGUUUGGAAAGUACAAUUCAUCAAUAAAGAGAGAUAAUCCCUUGCAAUCUAGAAGUUAAUAAUGGCAUUUGUUAAGCGCUUACUAUGUGCCAAGCACUGUUCUCAGCGCCGGGGUAGAGACAAGGUAAUCAGAUUGUCCCACGAGGGCCUCACGGUCUUCAUCCUCACUUUCCAAAUAACAAUAAUAAUAAUGAUGAUGACGGCAUUUGUUAAGCGCUUACUUUGCGCCGAGCACUGUUCUGAGCGCUGGGGGGGAUACAAGGUAAUCAGGUUGUCCCACUUGGGGCUCACAGUCUUAAUCCCCAUUUUACAGAUGAGGUAAUUGAGGCCCUGAGAAGUGAAGUGACUUGCCCAAGUGGCGGAGCUGGGAUUAGAACCCAUGACCUCUGACUCCCAAGCCCGUGAUCUUUCCACCGAGUCACGCGGGUGAGGAAACUGAGGCACGGAGAAGCCAAGUGUCUUGCCUAACCUCAUUCACCUGCUUCUUCCUGACCCCCGGUCUCUCAGUCUGGACAAUGAGGGGGGCGCGGAGGAGGGAGGGCUCGGUCAAAGGAGAGCGGGGGGAGACUGGGCCUUCGUCCUUCGGGCCCUUGGGUGUGAGCUUUUUCUCAGCGCAACCCCUGCGCCCCGACGGUAGCGGCGGAGUCCUAGACUGAGCGACUCUCGGGGGUGAGGAGUGUGGCGGAGACCAUUCAGAUCGUAGCUUCGGCGGAGGGCUCCGGGGAGGACCGGUGGAGGUAGGGCUAGGAGGCCGGGGAGCCGCCCGGGCCCGAAAGAGCAGGGAGCGAGAAAGAGGCUGGGAAAGAGGGUGGCUGCGUGUUGCAAUCCCUGGCCUGCAUAAAGACCUUUGCUCAGCGAGGUGCCUGUGGAGUGGCGUCUCCGGGGGAGGAGAGGGCAGAGCCAGCUUCGAAAGGGGCAGUGAGGAGAGGCGGGCAGAGCCCGAGGAGGGCCCUCAGAAGCUUCUGUGGUGAGGAGAGUGGGGCGGGGGGCUGCUCUGGGGUGGG
RNAcentral lists this long non-coding RNA (2620 nucleotides) under Ornithorhynchus anatinus (platypus). RNAcentral describes it as "lncRNA (ENSOANG00000033767.2)". Lineage: Eukaryota; Metazoa; Chordata; Mammalia; Monotremata; Ornithorhynchidae. The record is from RNAcentral.